Long non-coding RNA from Equus asinus (donkey), 4017 nucleotides. Lineage: Eukaryota; Metazoa; Chordata; Mammalia; Perissodactyla; Equidae. The record is from Ensembl.
GAAGGAGGCCGGAAGGAGGGAGGGGCAGAGAUGGAGAAAGGCACCAGGAGAGAAACUCAGGAGAGACGGAGCACAGCUAAAGCAGAGACUGAGAGGCCAGGCCCAGGCACACUCGGAGAGAACAGGGGUGGAGAGAGGAUGGAAAGACACUCCAAACAUAAAAGCAGGUCCCCGGGGACGGGGCCAGUCUGCAGGGCCGGGAAAUGGGCAAGUGAGGCAGAGGGGGUGUGGGUCAGGCCCACACGACCGUCCUAGCCGGCAUCUCCCAGAGCCGGGCCUGGCCCUGCGUGUGGCUGGUGCCCUGUGAACAAACGCAGCUCUGCUCUGUGGGUCUCCUUGAUGUGGCUCAAGGGGUGCAGCCCUCCCGGUAGGACCCCAGAAUCUGCUUGCUUCAAGGCCCUGGCCCCCAGGUGCCUGCCACAUGGGCUCACCCCGGCAGGCCCCCAAAACCAGGCUUCUCCUCACCUGGCCCAUGGUGUGGCCAGAGAAGGGUGCCUCCAGGGUCCCCUCAGCUUGGCCAAAUGGCCCGAGGCUCUGCCAGCAGAUCCACCCAGAUCAUCCUCCCUCUGAGGCCCCUACAAAGGGCUGUUUUCCACCCUGAGCCCCUCUCGUGUGGGGAACAGCUGAAGUGUGUCCCCAGAAUGCCUGGAUACCGAGGGUGGCCCUAGGUACACUAUGGGCACGGAUUCCCAGGCAAGCAGAAUUUGCCCCAGGUCAGCUCCCAGGCACAGUUCCAGUCUGUGGCCCUGGGGCCUCCCCUCAUCCUGGGCCUGGUGGGGUCAGAGGGUGGAGCCACAGACAGCCCUGCUCUGCAGGAAGUGGGGGUCCCUGAGGGUCCCGGGCAGACCAGGGUAAUGACUAAACUGGGUUUUAAGGAGGGGAAUGGAGCAGCGGUGUGUUGUGUGAGGCCCUGGGACCUCUGACCUUGUCAGUUCACCCGUUAUCACAAUUCCCCAUGGCCGUCUCCCCAUCUGGCUUGGAUCCCAAGGACAUGUGGGUCUUAUUCAUCUUUGUGACCAGGGUCCAGGAGAAGGUGGGCAGGGUCUCAAGAAACCUGUGUUGAGUGGGUGAGAGAGGAAGCCAGCAUGCAGCACCUCCUGCUGGGGUGACGCCCGAUGGAGGCCCCCAGAGAUGGGACCCCCAGCGGGGCAGGAGUAGAGGGGGGCCCAGGGCAGUGUUUGGGGCCAAGCAGGUCUCCCCAGCCCAUGAGGAGGGUCUCAGGGAGGGAACGAGCCCUCCCUGUGUCUGCCCCAGGACCAAGGUUGGCAACCACAGACCAAGGGACUCAGAGCCGUCCCGGGCAGGGAGGGGCUCGAGGAUGACCUGGCACUUUGGAGUGCUGCUGAUACCGUCAAACAGGAGCCAGGAAUUAAAAAUAACCGCCUGGCGAGAAAGCAAGACUCACCCCACCCCUGCCCAGCUGGUCUCUAUAUUUAAUGCGUCCUGUCCUGCCUGAAGGUUAGGUGGGAUUUGGGAGACGCUGUGACUGGCCAAGGCUGGGAUGGGCGAGACCAAAGGGCAGGAGGCUAGGGUCCCUGGGGAUGCCCACCCCAACGUCCCCCAAGGAACCACGAGCGCCCAGGACCCUGGGCUGCGUGCAGCCUCAGAGGGUGUUUGUCAGACACACCGCACAGGUCUGAGCCUCACCCUCCGCUCCUGGCUCCCCCACAGCUGUCAGCUGCCUGGAACCAGAUCACGGUGAGGUGCCUGCACCAGGGGCCGGCCGUGCUGGGAGGCCUGCUGCCCAGAGCCGCAGCCACUGCUGGUGGAAGGUGGCCUGCACACCGACCCUGGGAGGGUCUCAGCUGGUUUCUCCAAAGAGCCCCAUGUCCCCAGGAUGCGCUCUGUUACCUCACGGCCGAGCUGCGCCGAGGCCCUGGAGCCCGGGACGCGGCCAUCUGGAGAGGUGUCUCGCUGAGCAGCAGCAUGGGACUGCCACAGCGGCUACCCCCUGCAGAGGGCCAGGCAACUGCUGGACUACUGCUAACUACUGAACGGUGCUUAACGACCACUGACCACUGGUCUAAUGAUUUUUGGCUGAAUACUGCACAUUCUGUAAAGACUCUGGAUUCUGUUGUCUUCCUCUGAAGACUGUUGGCUCUUCUUUUAGCAGCCAUUCGAUCACUGGACCUGUGUAGGCUUGUUUUCACGCUUUGUUGGUGUCGAUCUGUGGAACGCCCGGUGUUUCCAAAGCCCCUCAACUUGCUCCCCAGGACUCCACCCCCAGCCGCUGGGCUCACCUGCACACCAUGCUCUGCUGCAGCAGCGCGGCCAGAAGACUGUCCCCCGGGGCUGGCAUGCGUGGGCCCACCAGAGCUCCCUCCCCGUCCACCUUACCCUCUCCCCACUGGAGCGGCUGCUGCCGUCUUGGGUCCAGUGCCAGCGCUCUUUAUGGAAUAGGGAUGGCCUGCUAUUUGCCGCUUCUCCACGAUUAUCUGAAGGAAUUUAAACUUACAGAAAAGUUGCUGGAGUCGUACCAAGGACACUGCCUCGUGCCCUCCGUCCACACGCGCCGCUUCUUCCUCUUUGCUCCCUUGCCUUCCCCAUCCUCUUUCUCUGCGUGUGUCUGGUUAUAUUCUUUGUUCUGAACUGUUUGAGAAAAGGUUGCAUAAAUCAUUGCCUUUACUCCUUACUGCUUCAGUGUAUAAUUCCAGUGGGCACAGUACUUCUGCCUACAGUCCCUGUUCUGAGCGCGUCAGCUGUCCCAACCAGACUUUCGCAGCUCUAUUGUUUCCCAAUCCAGGGUCACAUGUCGGUUUCACUCAUCAAGCCUCUUAGUCUCCUUAAUCUGAAACAGUUCCUCAGCCACUUGUGUCUUUUAUGACACUGACAUUUUUUAAGAGUGCAGGCCAGUUGUUUUGUAGGAUGUCCCUCUAUUUGGGCUUUUCUGAUGUUUCUGCAUGAAUCGGUUCACAGUUUAUUUUUCUGGCAGAGAUACCACCAGAGCAGUGUGUAUCCUUCCUGAUACAUCAGACAGGCAGGUGCCAGGUGUCAGUUUAUCCAUUAGUGGUGAUGUUAUCCUUGACCACCCGUGAAGGUGUCCACAACUUUCUCUACAGUGAAGUUACUGCUUCCUCCUUUGUGAUUAUUAAGUAGCUAAUGAGGAUGUACUUUGGAUUCUGUAAAUAUCCUGUUCCUCAUGGGAACCCCUCCCUCACGUCAGCACGCAUUGGUGAUUCUUACCUAAAUCAAUCUUCACUGUGAUGGUUGCGCUUUUUAAAUUACUUAUCUACCUAUUUUUGUUUUCUGAAUUAUCACACAGAAAAUUGACUUUUUGGAAGGUGUGCAGUUCUAUGAAUGUUAACACACGUAUAGAUUCCUGUAGGCACAUCACUCAGGACACAGAAUGUUCUGUCACCUAACAGCCCCCUUCGGCUCUCCCUUUAUACUCAGACUGUGAUAACUGGACAUCCAGAUGCAGGAGAAUGAAGUCGGACCCCUGCCUUAUGCCAUACACAAAAAUUAACUCAAAGUGGAUCCAAGGCCCAAUAAAACUAUAAAACUAUUAGAAGAAAACAUAGGUAUAAAUCUUCAUGACCUUGGAUUUGGCAAUGAAUUUUUGGAUAUGACAUUAAAGACACAAGCAACAAAAGAAAAAAUAGGUAAAUUGGACUUCAUCAAAAAGGAUACUAUCAAGAAAGUGAAAACACAAUCUACAGAAUGGGAGAGAAUAUUUACAAAUCAUAUUGGAUAAUAGUCUAGUAUCCAGAAUACGUAAAGAAUUCAUACAACUCAAUAAUAAUAGGCAGAUAACCCAGUUUAAAAAUUGGCAAAUGAUAUGCAUAAAUAUUUAUCCAAAGAAGAUAUACAAAUGGUCAAUAGGGACAUGAAAAGAUGCUCAACAUCAUUAGUCAUUAUGUACCUAAUAACAGACCAUCAAAAAAUAAGAAAGAAAAUUUACAGAAUAAAAGUAGAAAUAGUUCUACAAUAAUAGUUGGUGACAUCAAUACCUUGCUCUCAAUAAUGGAACCAACCAGAUCUGACAGACUCGCACAGACACCCCACCCAACGACAUUA